Non-coding RNA from Phrynosoma platyrhinos (Desert horned lizard), 74 nucleotides. The record is from the annotation of a GenBank genome assembly. Lineage: Eukaryota; Metazoa; Chordata; Lepidosauria; Squamata; Phrynosomatidae.
GUCAGCAUGGCUUAGUGGUUUGAAUUUUGGAUUGCAAUGCUGGAGAUCAGGGUUUGAUUCCCACCUUGCUCAUG